RNAcentral lists this ribosomal RNA (964 nucleotides) under uncultured organism. RNAcentral's name for it is "bacterial SSU rRNA". It matches the Rfam family "Bacterial small subunit ribosomal RNA", at positions 202 to 1192 of the family's 1533-position model. The record is from RNAcentral.
UAAGUCAUACUGAUUUAUCUCUGCCUGAAGAGAAGCUCGCGGCUGAUUAGCUAGUUGGUAGGGUAAAGGCCUACCAAGGCGACGAUCAGUAGCUGGUCUGAGAGGACGAUCAGCCACACUGGAACUGAGACACGGUCCAGACUCCUACGGGAGGCAGCAGUGAGGAAUUUUCUGCAAUGGGCGAAAGCCUGACAGAGCAAUACCGCGUGGGGGAUGAAGACUUACUGAGUUGUAAACCUCGGUACCCUAAGGAAGAAGAUAUGACGGUACUUAGGGUGGAAAGCAUCGGCUAACUCCGUGCCAGCAGCCGCGGUAAGACGGGGGAUGCAAGUGUUAUCCGGAUUUACUGGGCGUAAAGCGUCUGCAGGUGGUUUCUUAAGUCUACUGUUAAAUCUUGAGGCUCAACCUCAAAUCUGCAGUAGAAACUAGGAGACUUGAGUAUAGUAGGGGUAGAGGGAAUUUCCAGUGGAGCGGUGAAAUGCGUAGAUAUUGGAAAGAACACCGAUGGCGAAGGCACUCUACUGGGCUAUUACUGACACUCAGAGACGAAAGCUAGGGGAGCAAAUGGGAUUAGAUACCCCAGUAGUCCUAGCCGUAAACGAUGGAUACUCGAUGUUGGACGUAUCGACCCGUUCAGUAUCUUAGCUAACGCGUUAAGUAUCCCGCCUGGGGAGUACGCUCGCAAGAGUGAAGCUCAAAGGAAUUGACGGGGGCCCGCACAAGCGGUGGAGGAUGUGGUUUAAUUCGAUGCAACGCGAAGAACCUUACCAGGGUUUGCUAGAAGUGUUGGUUUUCUGAAAAGGAUUCCUUAUUCCGCUUCUACAGGUGGUGCAUGGCUGUCGUCAGCUCGUGUCGUGAGAUGCUGGGUUAAGUCCCGCAACGAGCGCAACCCUUAUUUUUAGUUGUAUGGUGUAAAAAGACGUCCGGUGACAAACCGGAGGAAGGUGAGGACGAGGUCAAGUCA